UACAGAGGUCUCAAGCGUUGUUCGGAUUCAUUGGGCGUAAAGGGUGCGUAGGUGGCAAGGUAAGUCGGGUGUGAAAUCCCGGGGCUCAACCCUGGAACUGCACUCGAUACUGCCAUGCUCGAGUACUGGAGAGGAGACUGGAAUUUACGGUGUAGCAGUGAAAUGCGUAGAUAUCGUAAGGAAGACCAGUGGCGAAGGCGAGUCUCUGGACAGUUACUGACACUGAGGCACGAAGGCCAGGGGAGCAAACGGG
RNAcentral lists this ribosomal RNA (253 nucleotides) under uncultured bacterium. Its description in RNAcentral is "partial 16S ribosomal RNA". It matches the Rfam family "Bacterial small subunit ribosomal RNA", at positions 524 to 776 of the family's 1533-position model. The record is from RNAcentral. RNAcentral also lists the same sequence under 2 other names.